Molecule: ribosomal RNA, 465 nt
Filed under: uncultured bacterium
Lineage: Bacteria
Description: partial 16S ribosomal RNA
Rfam family: Bacterial small subunit ribosomal RNA
Source: RNAcentral
CCUACGGGAGGCAGCAGUAGGGAAUCUUCCACAAUGGGCGCAAGCCUGAUGGAGCAACACCGCGUGAGUGAAGAAGGGUUUCGGCUCGUAAAGCUCUGUUGUUGGAGAAGAACGUGCGUGAGAGUAACUGUUCAAGCCGUGACGGUAUCCAACCAGAAAGUCACGGCUAACUACGUGCCAGCAGCCGCGGUAAUACGUAGGUGGCAAGCGUUAUCCGGAUUUAUUGGGCGUAAAGCGAGCGUAGGCGGUUGCUUAGGUCUGAUGUGAAAGCCUUAGGCUUAACCGAAGAAGUGCAUCGGAAACCGGGCAACUUGAGUGCAGAAGAGGACAGUGGAACUCCAGGUGUAGCGGUGGAAUGCGUAGAUAUAUGGAAGAACACCAGUGGCGAAGGCGGCUGUCUGGUCUGCAACUGACGCUGAGGCUCGAAAGCAUGGGGAGCGAACAGGAUUAGAUACCCGGGUAGUC